Non-coding RNA from Pelodiscus sinensis (Chinese soft-shelled turtle), 755 nucleotides. NCBI's taxonomy places the organism in Eukaryota, Metazoa, Chordata, Testudines, Trionychidae. The record is from RefSeq and is a predicted model, not a curated record.
GGCAGAAAGAUGUAUUCAGUUGCGGGCUUACAGCUAUGCAUAGUGAAUCAUCAAGCCCUGUUGGGAUGAGAUGGACAGAUUCCUUAGCAAUUCGCCAGAUGACUCCAACAUUUACUUGUAGUUUCUUCUGGUGGAAGAAACUUAGCUGGUUCCAAUUUCUGCACUGGAGGAUUCCUUGGCUGAAGAAGAUACAACUGUUUGUCAUGGCAAUGACAGUAACCAUGCAUUACUCAUCAUAGCUUCAGACCCUUGGGGAUUCCAAGUACAACAGACUACUGAAGAGCUCCCCUUUGAGGGUUGGGUAUUAUUUUCCUUAAAGACUGUCAAAGCGAUACAUACUUUAAAGACUCAAAAGUAAUAUUGAAAUCCCUAGAUCUUUUUACACCAGCCCUGAAAAGAACAAAAUUUUGCUCUCAAUUUCUUCGGAGGCAGCAUUAUUGCAUACCUAGACAAGCAGAUCAGUAAAGGGCGAAGCACAAAAAGCAAAGGAGACGACCCCAUCCAUUGCCCUCCAGUGUUUCCACCACACAACCCCAUGUCUGAGGCUGUUUGACUCCCCCAUUAAGGAUGGCAGAAUGACCAUCUGGCUUGCACCAAAAAUCAUCCCUCCUGUGAGAGCAGGUUGUCACAUUUGCUAAGUACAUAGCAGUCCAUCACUUCAGACAAGCAAGUGCUAAGCAUGGUGGAAUCAGGGAUAUACCUUGCAGUUCCUGUCUUCUCUCCCCUUCCCAUCCACCUUCUCUUUCCCUCAUUAA